GGAAUUAGACAAUGUCACGUCAGAAACUUCCAUCUGCGAGAUAUGCCCAACCCUGCUCGGGGUAAUGAAGUGUUAUAGGUGGUGGUUCAAUCGCUUUUCCGAAUGGCAGUAGUGGGGGAAUGCUGCCUGUGUGGUGUGUAGGUGUAUGAAAAUAACGUACUGAAUAAUUCCUGGCCUUUAAAUGUUUAUCCAUUUUUAUACGAACUACUUUGUUGAGUGAUUGAAUAUCGCAAAAAACUAAUUACAUGUAGGCAAUGACUUCCACGGAAGGGGUAAGCAUUUUCUGUACAAGUCAACUAUAAAAACUGAGAUGUCUGACGUCUUCUAGUUGGAUUCUGGAGAGUCCACUAGAAUGUCAGUCAGUGAUAUCAGUCAGUCAGUCUAAUGAUAUCAAUCAAAAAGAGAUCCAUCAUGACCAGGAGCAUAAUUGAAUCGACAUCAAUCGCCUAGGAUUUCGGGUGAUUUCUACAAUUGUACAUAAAUUUUUUUAUGAAUGAUAAAUUAAUUGCAAAUAGUGAAUUUGAUGAUUAAUUGUAUAUAAUAUCUGAGAUUUAAUUGUAUAUUAAAAUUUUGCAAACCAUUAUAUGUUGAGGAUUUUUGUCCAACAACGAAGUCAUACCAUGGCUAACAUGUGACAGAAUAAAAUCUCUUGAUCAUCUGGCAACGGUCAUAGAAUUACUGAAUAAGUUGCUUUUUUUAUGAAUCAUUUUUUGUUCCGUAAUUGUAUAAUUUGUGACAUGCAAUGUGUGUAAUAAAAAAAAACAUGAAAACCGAAAA
Long non-coding RNA from Diachasma alloeum, 777 nucleotides. RefSeq lists it as uncharacterized. The transcript is spliced from 2 exons. The record is from RefSeq and is a predicted model, not a curated record. NCBI's taxonomy places the organism in Eukaryota, Metazoa, Arthropoda, Insecta, Hymenoptera, Braconidae.